CUCUUAUCCAAACUUUGAAAAUAUUUAAAGUAAUCCACUAAUCCCCAAUCCCGAAAACAAAUUCAUUUAAAUAGAUCCCCAAUCCAUCAAAAUAUUGCCAGGUCAAUUCCCAAUCUGGAUAGGUCAUAGAUCUUGGAUUAGAUUUAAGUUCUUUGAGAAUUGCGUGUUUCAUAUUUCCCUUAAAAUUAACCUUUGAAUUUGACAUUUGACAAAUUUCUAAAAAACGAACCUUUUCGACCGGUUAACUACUUAAUGUGUUGUUAUUACAGCUCUAAAGAACGAUUUAAACCGUUUUUUACUGUCUUUUUUUUACCUGAAAUUAUUCACCCUUUGUUAAAAGAAUGAAUUUAAGAACAAAACAUUUAUUAAAAAUCCUUAAUCUUGCAACUAAUUCAAAUUUGUCAAUCCAUACUGCUAAUUUUUUUACACAAGAAUUAACCUCUGUGUCCGAUGAACUGGUUAAUUUGUGGUUAAUAGCCAUAAUCAUACCACAUUGCAUGAGUUUAACAAAUUUUCCUUUAAUUUUAUUUACUAUUAUCUUCGUAGGGUGAAAUAAUAAACAGAAAUAAUAAGUUUUAAACAAAAUUCAUUAAACAGAAUCAAAGUAGGGGCGAAAAAUAAUCCACACGCUUGACUAAUCCAGACUGGCCAAUCUCUAAUCCCCAAUCCAAAUCAUGUUUCUAAAGUAAUCUAAUCCGAAACUAAUCCAAGUCCCUAAUCAAUGUUUAUUUCUAAUGCCCAUUCUAAUCCAAAAAUUUUAGUGACCAAUCCCCAAUCCGUAAUUUGAGCAAAAAAUGACCAAUCUCCCAGCUCUGAUUAUCCCUGAUUGGCCAGAUUAAUUUAUUUGUUAAGACAAUAAACAUAAAUAGGUAUUUAUGUAGUUAGGUACGCAGGUCGAUGCGUAAUUAACAGAAUUUUAAAUAAUUAACAAAAUAUCCUUUUGUUUAUAAAAUUCGUAAAAUCUAACGGAUUUUAUCCAACGAAUGUAGGGGUGCACCGAGUGGUAAAAAAGAAGACUCGGCCGAGUACUCGACAAUUCUUGAAACGAGUACUCGGCCGAGCACCGAGUAAUAACUGUUUCACGGACAAGAAUUUAUUAAAAAAUGACCAAAAAAUGAAGAAAAACUCGGCCGAGUGGGCGACAAUACACGGCCGAGUCCGAGUAGUAAAAAUACACGCCGAGUCGGCCGAGCACUCGGUGCAUCCCUAAACCAAUGCAUUCGAUCGUGCUAAAAUCCCAUAUUUCGAGCGCGUAAAAGCUAUUAGGGAAAAUGGUAUAAUUUUGUAAAACUCAACAAAUUACAAAAUUAAAGUCAAAAAUCAGGCUGCGGCAAAAUAGUAGUCCGAAAUAAAUUAAUAAGGCCUGGGUAAGAAUAUUUUGCGCAAAUAUUUAGAAAAAGCCACAUGCGAGCGCCGAAGGCGCGAGCGGCUUGGGGCGCCGAAUUUCUUUGCCCGGGUAAGAUUUUGGGCUAGAUCGGGGCCUGAUGCGGAGACACGUUAAUUUAAUAAACGAUUAAAAUUUCUGAAAAUUACCUCCGAGAAGAAUUGAGAAGUCAAAUUUGAAAAACUCCUUAGCUAAAAUAUGGCCACAUUAAGACGAAUUUUCUUCGGGACGUCAAUUCUCGUGUUUUUUGUCUUCUUCGCCAUAAUAUUUUCGGGACAAAAGGGACCAAUUGAGUUAAACUUUAUGCCACGGAAAGUACAUGAACUUCGACGAUCGGUGAUGUUUUGGAAACAACCAGUUAAUCUGAGUGAAGAAGAAAGCGAAUCGAAUGAAGAAGAAGGAAAAUCGGGAUCUGCAUUGGAAAAUUUGAAAGAGGAAUUGAACUCCAUACAGAAUUAUUUCGUGGAAGACACAAUUUUAGGACAGGAAGCUUCUGGAGUGUUUGACUUCAAUAAUGUGGCAAAUAUGGCAGCAGGGCCUAAGACGAAGGCAUGCAGUCGUGCCCCUCAUCUGCAUGAAAUACUCUUCAGUAACACGUACUGGCAGAUGCUGCGCGUGAUUGAGAAAAAUACGACUGGAAUAAUGUACCUCUAUAGCGCGAACGCUGAUGGGCGUGGCACCGGUAAAAAAAUUCGUGUCGUGACCAUGAUAGAUGACGCUUUUAGGAAAGCGAAUUUGACGGUUUGGUGCAAUUUAUGGUCGGGGAAUAAUUCUUUCAUAAGCACUACAAAUGCUACAUUUAAAAAUAUUUGGCCGUGGGGUCAAUCCGGUGCUCAUCACCCUAUCCUGGUCACCUGUGAUUUGGACGAUUUUGACGAGUCUGACGUCGACACGUCCGAAGAAUUUGAAUGGCCUGCCUCCGUUUCAAUAGUUUCGCAGAAGUGUCAGCAAGCUACUAAUCAAUUGAAAGUGGUUAACAAGGAUGAGAGAGUUGGCGAUUUUGGGGUCUGUUUCAAGUGGCUGGAUUUCUCUGAGGUGGACUUAUCCCGCAGGAUUAUUGAGAUGGUUGAACUGCUCAGAGUUCUGGGGGUUAGCGGGAUUCACUUUCCGUACAUGGCGACACAUCCAAAUGUUGAUAGGGUACUAGAUUAUUACGGAAAAGAGGAUGAUCCAAUAGUCCACGUGAAACCGUUUAGUCUGCCCGGACCAUACAGUAAUUUGCCACACUUGCGACAUUUAUUAUUGCGGCGAAACAACAAUGUGAAGUUGAGGGCCGAAUUGAUACCCUAUGUCGAUUGUUUCUUGGAGAACAUGUAUCAAUAUAAAUAUAUUGCGAUCAUCGAUAUUGAUGAGGUCAUAUUGCCCACGGCCAACAGUACCUUCACUAAUUACACCGAACUGUUUGAAGAGCUUGAGAAAAUGAAUACGAACGUUACCCAUUACAGUUUCUGCUUCGAUAUGAAAUUAUUCGUGGACCGAAUGCAACGGACGAACGGAAGUCUGGUGGCAGACCUGCAUCAAAUCCGUCCAGAGCUAUUCGAUGAUGCUGAUCCACAACUUCCUUAUGUCAUGAACAAAGUGUAUUUCGACAAAGCCUACUUAUGCAAUUCCGGUCGUCACACGAACGUCAAAUGUUUCCACAACACGGAAUCGGUUCUUCUUGUUCAUAAUCACUCGCCCUCAGCGUGCCUGGAGGGAGUUACUUCUUGCUCCAAACGCACACGAUGAGAGGUUUCAAAAAUCACCGGGGGACGACGUGCUCAGGUGCUAAGUGUUGGAAAGGCGCGCUCACCGCCCCAUUUCGAGGCAAGUUGGGCAAUCUAUCUAUUUGUACAUACCUGAUCGUGUGCUCCAAACGAAUACAUCGUGACAUAGCGUACACACACCAUCACAAGGACACCUAUUCGUAUUGCGCCACAAAUAGCACGAUUGACCCGCCCGAAUUACUUAGAAACCCGUUCGGCUUUGAUGAUAGCAUUAGGCUCUUCCAAGAAGAAGUUAUACAACGCAGAGAUCCGAUUUUGGAAAGAUUAGGUUUCUAGAAAUUAAGCAGGUUUAAAUAUUAUUAAGCUGGGGCUAACAAAGUAUAUGGAGAUGAUAUGUAAAUAUGUUCGUAUUUAUCUGUGUAAUGGAUAAAAAGUGGAUAACUCUUUAAUCAACCGUGUUAAGUAAAAUGAUUAUUGAAGUGAUAAAAACAUACAUUUAGAAAUCUCCUACUAAAUACUUUUACACCAAUAAAAAUAAUGUCAAAAAGUAUGCAAAUACAUA
Folsomia candida is the source of this 3652-nucleotide RNA transcript. RefSeq lists it as uncharacterized. The transcript has 9 exons. The record is from RefSeq and is a predicted model, not a curated record. Lineage: Eukaryota; Metazoa; Arthropoda; Collembola; Entomobryomorpha; Isotomidae.